UACGGAGGAUGCGAACGUUAUCCGGAUUUAUUGGGUUUAAAGGGUGCGUAGGCGGACUGUCAAGUCAGCGGUAAAAUUGAGAGGCUCAACCUCUUCCCGCCGUUGAAACUGGUGGUCUUGAGUGGAUGAGAAGUACGCGGAAUGCGUGGUGUAGCGGUGAAAUGCAUAGAUAUCACGCAGAACUCCGAUUGCGAAGGCAGCGUACCGGCAUCCAACUGACGCUGAGGCACGAAAGCGUGGGGAUCAAACAGG
Molecule: ribosomal RNA, 252 nt
Filed under: uncultured bacterium
Lineage: Bacteria
Description: partial 16S ribosomal RNA
Rfam family: Bacterial small subunit ribosomal RNA
Source: RNAcentral